CGUGUAGGUGGUCGGGUAAGUCAGAUGUGAAAGCCUUCUGCUUAACAGAAGAAGUGCAUUUGAAACUGCUCGGCUAGAGUACGGGAGAGGAGAGUGGAAUUCCCGGUGUAGAGGUGAAAUUCGUGGAUAUCGGGAGGAACACCAGUGGCGAAGGCGGCUCUCUGGUCCGAUACUGACGCUGAGACGCGAAAGCGUGGGGAGCAAACAGGAUUAGAUACCCUGGUAGUCCACGCCGUAAACGAUGGGCACUAGGUGUAGGAGGUAUUGACCCCUUCUGUGCCGAAGCUAACGCAUUAAGUGCCCCGCCUGGGGAGUACGGCCGCAAGGCUAAA
This 332-nucleotide ribosomal RNA is filed under the name uncultured bacterium. RNAcentral describes it as "bacterial SSU rRNA". It matches the Rfam family "Bacterial small subunit ribosomal RNA", at positions 568 to 898 of the family's 1533-position model. The record is from RNAcentral.